This 253-nucleotide ribosomal RNA is filed under the name uncultured bacterium. RNAcentral's name for it is "partial 16S ribosomal RNA". It matches the Rfam family "Bacterial small subunit ribosomal RNA", at positions 524 to 776 of the family's 1533-position model. The record is from RNAcentral.
UACGUAGGGUGCGAGCGUUAAUCGGAAUUACUGGGCGUAAAGCGUGCGCAGGCGGUUUUGUAAGCCAGAUGUGAAAGCCCCGGGCUUAACCUGGGAAUGGCAUUUGGGACUGCAAGGCUUGAGUGCGGCAGAGGAGACUGGAAUUCCUGGUGUAGCAGUGAAAUGUGUAGAUAUCAGGAGGAAUACCGAUGGCGAAGGCAAGUCUCUGGGCUGACACUGACGCUCAUGCACGAAAGCGUGGGGAGCAAACAGG